Molecule: small nuclear RNA, 70 nt
Filed under: Myotis brandtii (Brandt's bat)
Lineage: Eukaryota; Metazoa; Chordata; Mammalia; Chiroptera; Vespertilionidae
Description: U4 spliceosomal RNA
Rfam family: U4 spliceosomal RNA
About the family: U4 small nuclear RNA (U4 snRNA) is a component of the major U2-dependent spliceosome.
Source: Rfam by way of RNAcentral
AGCUUUGUGCAGUGGCAAUAUUGUUAGCCAAUGAGGUUUAUCCAAGGCACGAUUAUUGCUAAUUGAAAGA